Non-coding RNA from Paramuricea clavata, 1170 nucleotides. The record is from the annotation of a GenBank genome assembly. Lineage: Eukaryota; Metazoa; Cnidaria; Anthozoa; Malacalcyonacea; Plexauridae.
CUCUCUACUCAGCAUACGUUUACAGUGCAGUCGAAAGGAAUACGGCCGAAAGGUUAUCGAUACAGUAUACGAAACUUCAAUGCCAUAUUCGUCUUGUUUAAGUUAAACAAUGAUGAAAUAUUUUGUAAUUCUCCUUCUCCCGACAUGUCUACUGUGCGCGGUUGAAGACAGAAGCUCGGCGCAAGAGAAUAUUGUCGCAUUCAAGGUAUAUAAAGUUCGUUGUAAAAAAAUUCGUCUUUAAGAUAUAUGAAGGGGCCUUAGCAGGCCAUUUUUAACUAUGUAUUACUGGAGGAUUUACCGCAGUGCGCCCUUUGCUUGCGCCAAGAAUGAGGCAAGAUUUUCAGAUGAGCUGGGACUUUUUUGUAAUUUCUUAAAAAAACGCUCUGGGCUUUAGGUUUUGUUCACAAGAGAUUGAAUGAGUUCGAAAUCAUAUUCAAAUUUGCACAAUUUCGCCUUCGAGUUCACAUGGGACGUUUAAACGCGGAGGAAUUGCCGUUUGUACACAAAUGGAACCGGAACGAACGAUUUGCGUGCGGUUUCAAAUUCGUCUGGUCUCCCUUGUAAACGUCGUCUUAAUUAGCAUGUGAGGAAGCCAGAACUUUCAUUCGUUUUAGUGAAGAAUUACUGAGCAGAAAUGAAUUCCCCAAUAGGCCCUAGCCAUUGCUCAGACUCUAUACUAGCUGAUAUACAUCAUGCAUUUUAUAUUGCGAUUAGUAAUGGUACACCAGAUUAGCUUUAUUAACUCGUCUGAAUAACGGACCAUUACUCUGUUAAAUUUAAUGCUUUACGUUCAGCACAAUAAGUCAUUUGUUUACAAUAAUCCACAUUUUCAAAUAUACCUUUUGUUGCAGCUGUUUUUGUGGCGUUAAUAAGGUGUUAUAUAAAACUUAUUGUUUCUAAUAGUAUAAAACAGCAGCUGUAUACAGGAGAUAUCGUUAUCUAAAAAAAUAACACAUCGGUUUGUAAUCAUACCAUUUUCUAUUUGCGUUCAUAGGUGAAACGAGAUGCGGUAUUGGAAUCAGGGGAAAGCCAAGGUACCACCAAGUUUAGCGCAAAUGUACAACAAAAUACAUUUUGCGCAUUUAAAUGUUGCUGCGUUUAUACAUUAUUUCAUUAACGUAAGGCGCGCGAGCCUGUAUGACGCAAUCGUAUCGCGCUGUUUAUAUGGUG